RNAcentral lists this ribosomal RNA (740 nucleotides) under Odobenus rosmarus rosmarus (Atlantic walrus). Its description in RNAcentral is "partial 16S ribosomal RNA". It matches the Rfam family "Bacterial large subunit ribosomal RNA", at positions 1807 to 2853 of the family's 2925-position model. The record is from RNAcentral. Lineage: Eukaryota; Metazoa; Chordata; Mammalia; Carnivora; Odobenidae.
CCAAAAACAUCACCUCUAGCAUUACUAGUAUUAGAGGCACUGCCUGCCCAGUGACACGAGUUAAACGGCCGCGGUAUUCUGACCGUGCAAAGGUAGCAUAAUCAUUUGUUCUAUAAAUAAGGACUUGUAUGAAUGGCCACACGAGGGUUCUACUGUCUCUUACUUCCAAUCGGUGAAAUUGACCUUCCCGUGAAGAGGCGGGAAUAUAACAAUAAGACGAGAAGACCCUAUGGAGCUUCAAUUAACUAACCCAAUAGAAUUUAUUCAAUUAACCAAUAUGGGACAAAGUAAUUCUACAGUGGGACAGCAAUUUAGGUUGGGGCGACCUCGGAGUAUAGCACAACCCCCGAGUGAUAUAAAUCUAGACAUACCUGUCAAAACGAACUAUCAUAAAUUGAUCCAAAAAUUUUUGAUCAACGGAACAAGUUACCCUAGGGAUAACAGCGCAAUCCUAUUCAAGAGUUCAUAUCGACAAUAGGGUUUACGACCUCGAUGUUGGAUCAGGACAUCCCAAUGGUGCAGCAGCUAUUAAAGGUUCGUUUGUUCAACGAUUAAAGUCCUACGUGAUCUGAGUUCAGACCGGAGUAAUCCAGGUCGGUUUCUAUCUAUUAACCAGUCUCUCCCAGUACGAAAGGACAAGAGAGACAAGGCCCACUUCGACGAAGCGCCUUAGGACUAAUAUAUGACAUAAUCUUAAUAUAACCAGUUCAACUACACUAUUCAACCCGAGAACAGGGUUU